RNAcentral lists this long non-coding RNA (2287 nucleotides) under Lactuca sativa (garden lettuce). RNAcentral describes it as "long non-coding RNA (LSAT_LNC010045)". Lineage: Eukaryota; Viridiplantae; Streptophyta; Magnoliopsida; Asterales; Asteraceae. The record is from RNAcentral.
UAAUGUUCAUGCUAAUCCAAUUUCAGAGAUAAUUGUCAAUAGAUACAUGUUUGGAAGGUUUCGAUGGUUGGGUUCAGUGGCCUUGGGAAUGCCAUUGAUUGCGCAGGAUGAUAGUAGUAAAUCCAGGAUAGCAAGUGUCGGUAGUGAUGGGAAACACCAGUGGUCCAGGACAGGUAGGAGGAGAGCUUCGGGUGGGUCGNUGGGGUAGGUGACUGUAGAAGACUUCGAGGACGAUGUCCAGUUUAAUUGGGGGAGAAUUUUAACACCUGGAAACCAGAAGGCUAAUUAAGGAAAUAUAUUAUGCAAAUUGGAGGUCUACUCGUCGAGCCCAAGGGGGCAAGUCGACGAGUAGAAAUAAGUUUUUAGGAUGCGGGUUGAGAAACCUACUCGACGACUUGGGGAGGACCAAAUCGACGAGUUGGCAUGGGUUUGGGAAACCCUAGAUUCGUGGUUUUGCACCCUAUUUAGGUAUCUUAAUCCCUACCUUAUGGCCUCAUUUCCGGCCUCCAGUGUCCAAACCCUAGAUCUCGAAACCCUAAUGCUUGUAAGCCAUUUUUUAGUAAACCUUGUGUGAUUUGAAGCUUGUGAAGAAUAGGAGAAGCUUGGAGUUUCAGAAGGAAGUUAGUAGGUCCAGAAACCACAUCUAAUCCUCUCCAUUUCCUGGCAGGCAAGUCUCAACCACGCUUAAUAGAUUGAUAGAUUUCUUUAAUUUCACUUGAUGAGGGUUUUGGUCCUAGAAGCGUAACCCUUGGGAAAUGGACGUCCCAAGUGAUUUACCUUUCAGAUCUGGGAUCUACAUGGGAUUUCAUGGCAUAGAGGUGCAAACUUUAUGACCAUGGAAUUGUUGGAUUAGUGUCUAAGUCCAUAACUAUAUUUCGUAGGUACAUGACCCGACCCGACAUGGUCCAUUUGGGUUGCACUUCACCGACACAAUUUAUAUGGAUAGUCUUUUGAGAAUAGUAUAUUUAUGAUUUAUAUUAAUAUAUUAUAAGUUCUAAUAUAUUAAUAUAUAAUCAGAUUAUUUAAUUAGUAUUGAUCAAGACUUAAUUAAGUGAUCAAAAUGAACUAAUUAAAUAUGGACUCUUAUAUAUAUGGAAUGGCCCAAGUUCAUUUAGGUUGAGCUAAGCUUUCAUGGAUAGUCCAUUAAGUGUUUAACCCAAGGAUCAUAUGAAAUCAAAGGUCAUGGGUUUAACCCUAGUCUCCAUACUAUAUAAAGAUGUCAUUGGUUGGUGAAAUUGGCACUAGUGUAGUACACUAAGAAGGGCUAGCCAACUUCACUAGAGAGAACCAAGUAUCCAUAUUCUCUAAAUUCUUCCAAGGUGUUUUGGUGAUUUAUGAUUCCAUUUGAGGCUUCCACACUAUUGGGGCUAAGCUCUUAAAGCUUGAAGACAUCAAGCUACACCAAAACGCAUGUCAUCUCACUAGUCUUUGUAGUAUAGUUGCCUCAUAGUAUGCUAGUUAGGAUUAAAGCCUUGGAAAGUUCUUAUUUGCAUGUGUAAUAGAGAAAACAUAGAUCCAAGGUUUAUAGGGUUGCAUGUACACCAUAGGAGUGUUAGAAUGCUCAAAACCCAACAGUGGUAUCAGAUCCUAGGCUUUUUUUCUUGUUAUACUUGCAAUAUAAGUUGGAAAAUCGAGUUUUGUUGUUGUCUGCCCAGAAGACUUGCCGAGUCCAUGUAUGGACUCGCUGAGUCCUAGGCAAAAUGCAUCCAACUCGCCGAGUAGGUUCGUGCACUCGACAAGUUGGACCCCCAGACAGCAUAAAUUCGACUUUUUUGGCUGGAAUUGGACUAGGAACAUUACCCUAAGAUGUUUUUAGACUUAUAAACUUGUUUUUGAUGUGGUAAUGUUCAUGCUAAACCAAUUUCAAAGAUAAUUGUCAAUAAAUUCAUGUUUGGAAGGUUUCGAUGGUUGGGUUCAGUGGCCUUGGGAUGGCCAUUGAUUAAGCAGGAUGAUAGUAGUAAAUCUAGGAUAGCAAGUGUCGGUAGUGAUGGGAAACACCAGUGGUCUAGGACAGGUAGGAGGAGAGCUUCGAGUGUGUCGUGUGAGAUGUUUGUGGGGUAGGUGAUUGUAGCAGACUUCGAGGACGAUGUCCAGUUUAAUUGGGGGAGAAUUUUAACACCCGGAAACCAGAAGGCUAAUUAAGGAAAUAUAUUAUGCAAAUUGGAGGUCUACUCGUCGAGCCCAAGGGGGGCAACUCGACGAGUAGAAAUAAGUUUUUAGGAUGCGGGUUGAGAAACCUACUCGACGAGUCUGGGAGGACCAAAUCGACGAGUUGGCAUGGGUUUGG